AGAGUUUGAUCCUGGCUCAGAACGAACGUUGAUGGCGUGCCUCAUACAUGCAAGUCGAGCGCCCCGCAAGGGGAGCGGCGGACGGGUGAGUAACACGUAAAGAAUCUGCCCUGAAGCGGGGAAUAACUAUCCCAACGGAUAGCUAAUACCGCAUAAUGAUGGAGAAGGCAUCUUCUCUUCUCAAAAGGCUUCGGCCACUUCAGGAUGACUUUGCGUCCCAUUAGCUUGUUGGCGGGGUAACGGCCCACCAAGGCUACGAUGGGUAUCCGGCCUGAGAGGGUGUACGGACACAUUGGGACUGAGAUACGGCCCAGACUCCUACGGGAGGCAGCAGUAGGGAAUUUUGCGCAAUGGGGGAAACCCUGACGCAGCAACGCCAUGUGUGGGAUGAAGCAUUUCGGUGGGUAAACCACUGUCAGCGGGGAAUAAACGGCAGCUUCGGGCUGCUUUGAAUGUACCCGCAAAGGAAGCCCCGGCUAACUUCGUGCCAGCAGCCGCGGUAAUACGAGGGGGGCAAAUGUUGUUCGGAAUCACUGGGCGUAAAGGGAGCGUAGGCGGGUUUUUAAGUUAGGUGUUUAAUCCCGGGGCCCAACCCCGGACCGGCACUUAAAACUGGGAAUCUUGAAUAGUGGAGAGGUCGGUGGAAUUGGGGGUGUAGCGGUGGAAUGCGUAGAGAUCCCCAAGAACACCAGUUGCGAAGGCGGCCGACUGGACACAUAUUGACGCUGAGGCUCGAAAGCAUGGGGAGCAAACAGGAUUAGAUACCCUGGUAGUCCAUGCCAUAAACGAUGAAUACUAGGUUUUGGGCCCGUCAACGGUCCAGAGCCGCAGCUAACGCGUUAAGUAUUCCGCCUGGGGAGUACGGUCGCAAGACUGAAACUCAAAGGAAUUGACGGGGGCCCGCACAAGCGGUGGAGCAUGUGGUUUAAUUCGACGCAACGCGA
RNAcentral lists this ribosomal RNA (944 nucleotides) under groundwater metagenome. Its description in RNAcentral is "bacterial SSU rRNA". It matches the Rfam family "Bacterial small subunit ribosomal RNA", at positions 8 to 964 of the family's 1533-position model. The record is from RNAcentral.